GAGUUUGAUCGUGGCUCAGGACGAACGCUGGCGGCGCGCCUAACACAUGCAAGUCGAACGGGGAUAAAUCAACGGAAGGCUUCGGCCGGAAGAGGAUAUAUUCUAGUGGCGGACGGGUGAGUAACGCGUGAGUAACCUGCCUUUCAGAGGGGGAUAACGGCCGGAAACGGCCGCUAAUACCGCAUAACGUAAAGGGACGGCAUCGUUCUUUUACCAAAGGAGCAAUCCGCUGAGAGAUGGACUCGCGUCCAAUUAGCCAGUUGGCGGGUAAAGGCCCACCAAAGCGACGAUUGGUAGCCGGACUGAGAGGUUGAACGGCCACAUUGGGACUGAGACACGGCCCAGACUCC
This 350-nucleotide ribosomal RNA is filed under the name uncultured bacterium. RNAcentral describes it as "bacterial SSU rRNA". It matches the Rfam family "Bacterial small subunit ribosomal RNA", at positions 9 to 339 of the family's 1533-position model. The record is from RNAcentral.